Molecule: ribosomal RNA, 253 nt
Filed under: uncultured bacterium
Lineage: Bacteria
Description: partial 16S ribosomal RNA
Rfam family: Bacterial small subunit ribosomal RNA
Source: RNAcentral
UACAGAGGUCUCAAGCGUUGUUCGGAUUCAUUGGGCGUAAAGGGCUCGUAGGCGGUCUGUCACGUCGGGAGUGAAAACUCAGGGCUUAACCCUGAGCCUGCUUCCGAUACGGGCAGACUAGAGGUAUGCAGGGGAGAACGGAAUUCCUGGUGUAGCGGUGAAAUGCGCAGAUAUCAGGAGGAACACCGGUGGCGAAGGCGGUUCUCUGGGCAGUACCUGACGCUGAGGAGCGAAAGUGUGGGGAGCGAACAGG